Molecule: microRNA, 22 nt
Filed under: Homo sapiens (human)
Lineage: Eukaryota; Metazoa; Chordata; Mammalia; Primates; Hominidae
Description: hsa-miR-3129-3p
Source: miRBase by way of RNAcentral
AAACUAAUCUCUACACUGCUGC